This 893-nucleotide ribosomal RNA is filed under the name Phaeosphaeriopsis dracaenicola. RNAcentral describes it as "SSU rRNA". It matches the Rfam family "Eukaryotic small subunit ribosomal RNA", at positions 75 to 978 of the family's 1831-position model. The record is from RNAcentral. Lineage: Eukaryota; Fungi; Ascomycota; Dothideomycetes; Pleosporales; Phaeosphaeriaceae.
UAUACCGUGAAACUGCGAAUGGCUCAUUAAAUCAGUUAUCGUUUAUUUGAUAGUACCUUACUACUUGGAUAACCGUGGUAAUUCUAGAGCUAAUACAUGCUAAAAACCCCAACUUCGGGAGGGGUGUAUUUAUUAGAUAAAAAACCAACGCCCUUCGGGGCUUCUUGGUGAUUCAUGAUAACUUUACGGAUCGCAUGGCCUUGCGCCGGCGACGGUUCAUUCAAAUUUCUGCCCUAUCAACUUUCGAUGGUAAGGUAUUGGCUUACCAUGGUUUCAACGGGUAACGGGGAAUUAGGGUUCGAUUCCGGAGAGGGAGCCUGAGAAACGGCUACCACAUCCAAGGAAGGCAGCAGGCGCGCAAAUUACCCAAUCCCGACACGGGGAGGUAGUGACAAUAAAUACUGAUACAGGGCUCUUUUGGGUCUUGUAAUUGGAAUGAGUACAAUUUAAACCUCUUAACGAGGAACAAUUGGAGGGCAAGUCUGGUGCCAGCAGCCGCGGUAAUUCCAGCUCCAAUAGCGUAUAUUAAAGUUGUUGCAGUUAAUAAGCUCGUAGUUGAAUUUUGGGUCUGGCUGGCAGGUCCGCCUCACCGCGUGUACUUGUCCGGCCGGGCCUUCCUUCUGGAGAACCUCAUGCCCUUCACUGGGCGUGUUGGGGACCAGGACUUUUACUUUGAAAAAAUUAGAGUGUUCAAAGCAGGCCUUUGCUCGAAUACGUUAGCAUGGAAUAAUAGAAUAGGACGUGCGGUCCUAUUUUGUUGGUUUCUAGGACCGCCGUAAUGAUUAAUAGGGACAGUCGGGGGCAUCAGUAUUCAAUUGUCAGAGGUGAAAUUCUUGGGAUUUAUUGAAGACUAACUACUGCGAAAGCAUUUGCCAAGGAUGUUUUCAUUAAUC